This is a non-coding RNA of Saimiri boliviensis boliviensis (Bolivian squirrel monkey), 471 nucleotides long. The record is from RefSeq and is a predicted model, not a curated record. Lineage: Eukaryota; Metazoa; Chordata; Mammalia; Primates; Cebidae.
CAAUGGCCGGGUGUUCAGGCACGGGUGUGCGCUCAGCUGCCAUGGCCCAGCCUAGAGCACCUGCUGUCACUGCCAUGGUGGCCCCGCUUUUGCUGUGACAAAGACGAGUCGGGUGCUGAACACUAUCCUCCCCGAAGCCCAUGUGUUUCAAGGACUUUCUUGUACAGUUUCUUUGUCUGCGGAAUCAGGGAAAAAUGGAAAGGGUCAGCCACAGAAUCCCAAGAAAAAGUUCACCAAAAAAACCAGCCCAAUGCCUGCUGAGUCAUUUCACAACACUACCUACAAGAACCUCCAGCAUCAUGACUACAACACGUAAAUCUUCUUAGACCUGAACAUCGACCUCUCAAAAUUCAGGAUGCCUCAGCCCUCCUCAGGCCAGGAGUCACCUCCACACUGAGGGCCCUCGGUGUGAAGAUGAACCUUGCACUGUCUCUGCUACAUCCUGGAGUGCAAAAAUAAAAUCCACUCAAG